Molecule: unclassified non-coding RNA, 237 nt
Filed under: Hevea brasiliensis (rubber tree)
Lineage: Eukaryota; Viridiplantae; Streptophyta; Magnoliopsida; Malpighiales; Euphorbiaceae
Source: RNAcentral
GGAUGUGGAAAUCUGGAUCUCCUUUAACUUUAAUGUGAAUUUGUGAAUUCUGGAUUUGGUUUGUUUAGGUCCUUCUCGGAUUUUUCUUGAUAAAAUGUUGUGUUUGCUCUAUAGCUCGAUUUUUUUCUUUUAAUAGAUCUAGAAUCCUGGAUCUUUGCAGUUCUCCGCGUUCUAUCAAGUUGACUUACUUAGUAAUGUGUGCGUAUAGAGUUCAAUUAAUUUGUUGGAGCAAUAAAU